AACGAACGCUGGCGGCAGGCCUAAAACAUGCAAGUCGAACGGGUGUAGCAAUACAUCAGUGGCGCACGGGUGAGUAACGCGUGGGAACAUGCCCCUUAGUACGGGACAACGUCGGGAAACUGACGCUAAUACUGUAUAAUAUCUCCGGAUCAAAGAUUUAUCGCUGAGGGAGUGGCCCGCGUCUGAUUAGCUAGUUGGUGAGGUAAUGGCUCACCAAGGCUACGAUCAGUAGCAGGUCUGAGAGGAUGAUCUGCCACACUGGGACUGAGACACGGCCCAGACUCCUACGGGAGGCAGCAGUUAGGAAUAUUGGACAAUGGGCGAAAGCCUGAUCCAGCCAUGCCGCGUGUGUGAUGAAGGCCUUAGGGUUGUAAAGCACUUUCGUUGGGGAUGAUAAUGACCGUACCCAAAGAAGAAGCACCGGCUAACUUCGUGCCAGCAGCCGCAGUAA
This 451-nucleotide ribosomal RNA is filed under the name uncultured bacterium. Its description in RNAcentral is "partial 16S ribosomal RNA". It matches the Rfam family "Bacterial small subunit ribosomal RNA", at positions 29 to 523 of the family's 1533-position model. The record is from RNAcentral.